RNAcentral lists this ribosomal RNA (485 nucleotides) under uncultured bacterium. RNAcentral's name for it is "bacterial SSU rRNA". It matches the Rfam family "Bacterial small subunit ribosomal RNA", at positions 29 to 507 of the family's 1533-position model. The record is from RNAcentral.
AUUGAACGCUAGCGGCAUGCCUUACACAUGCAAGUCGAACGGCAGCACGGGGGCAACCCUGGUGGCGAGUGGCGAACGGGUGAGUAAUGCAUCGGAACGUGCCCAUCGAUGGGGGAUAACUGCGCGAAAGCGUUGCUAAUACCGCAUACGACCUACGGGUGAAAGCAGGGGACCGCAAGGCCUUGCGUCGAUGGAGCGGCCGAUGCCGGAUUAGCUAGUUGGUGAGGUAAAGGCUCACCAAGGCGACGAUCCGUAGCUGGUCUGAGAGGACGACCCAGCCACACUGGGACUGAGACACGGCCCAGACUCCUACGGGAGGCAGCAGUGGGGAAUCUUGGACAAUGGGCGAAAGCCUGAUCCAGCAAUGCCGCGUGUGGGAAGAAGGCCUUCGGGUUGUAAACCACUUUUGGCGGGAAAGAAAUGGUCUGUGCUAAUACCACGGAUUGAUGACGGUACCCGCAGAAUAAGCACCGGCUAACUACGUG